Molecule: transfer RNA, 71 nt
Filed under: Marmota monax (woodchuck)
Lineage: Eukaryota; Metazoa; Chordata; Mammalia; Rodentia; Sciuridae
Description: tRNA.Ala
Source: RNAcentral
GGGGUUGUGACUCAGUGGUAGAUUGCUCGCCUAGCAUGUGCGAGGCCCUGGGUUCAAUCCUCAGCGCCACA